AGCAGUGCAUCACAUCCCAUGCAUGCUGCUGCUGUGGUGCAUGGCCAAGCAGGGAUCCUGGGUGGGUUACUGCACAUGAAGUGUGCUGAUUUUUAAAAAACUUUUAAUUUGGCUCUUUGGGCUGCUAGAUGAAUUUCAGGUAAUGUAUCUGCUUGUCAAGUUGCCGAUGGAAAACGGAUCUGACUCAGCAUGCCAUCUGGUCCUCUUUUCCUGCCCCAGGUAGUUUUAUGCAACCAUGGUAGCGCUGUCCAAGUCUGGGAGGCUGUGUAUUGUACCAUAUUUUCUUUUCAUACAUAUGCCUUUGUAUAGACUUAAUAGUUACUACCCUUAAAAUUAGUAGCAUUAUCAUAAGGAGUGCACUUUUUUCAAUGUUGACAAUUCUGCCUGUAUGCAUUUGAUUUCCUACCAGUGCUGUGUUUCCAUUCCUAAUAAAACCAGGUGAUCCUGUCAGCACUGGGAUGACUGCUGCAUGUCCCUGGGUCUUGCUGACAAGACUGUGGAAGCAGAUGGCAUGUCACAAACUAUUACAAUCCGUUAAUAAACUGCAAAGAACUGAAAGCUACUCAUCGUUAAAGAGAAGCUUAAGCGUAUCAGUCUUCCUAUUAAGACUUUCAGUGUUAUUAUCUUUUUCCUCUUGUAAAUUGGAGAAAAAGCUUGUCUGCCCCUAUCAUGGGGACCUCAGAGAGAACCGAAGCUGUAGCACGCUGUGCCAGGACAGUCAGUGAAGCAGCUGGAACUCACGGUUCACUUCUACUGCUGGGAUUAAUUCCAGUAUAAAAUGAUGAUGCAGUUAAAAUUCUGAAGUAUGUUUCUGGGAAGUUGCCAGUAAUUUUCAGAUCCUGAGACCUGCAGGGCAGAGCAUCAGCUCAGAAACAUGCAGGGCUUAUGAAUAUAUAUAAAAUGGGUUUAAAGUAAUGUAGAUGCUGUUAUGCUGUUGUAAUGAAUGCAUUUUCUGGAGUAGCGAUCUCACUGUAGCAUGGUGUACAGUUACUUAAAAGUCUGGGAAGUCCUGGAAGGACAGAAUGAAGCAAAUGGAGAUAGAGGUGGAAAUGGCACACAUUGAGAAACAAGGCAAAAAUAAAGAUUGUUAAGUUUGGAGAAGAGAUCUGCCUAAACCCGAUAACUAAAAUAAGGGUAAUGAAACUAUUCUAGGAAAAUGCUUUCACUACCUUUUGUAAAACAGUGCAAAAUCAACCAUUUAAUCCUUUUAAAAAACAAACAAACAAAAACAACAAAAAACAAAAACCAACCAACAACAUACUGUUCAUAUCAGGACAAACCAAUGGCUAGUUUCAUGUCUUGUUUCAGACGGUGAUCAGGAGCAGCCUGAAGUCUUUUAGGAAAAAGCAAGGGAAAGUGUGGAACAGCAGUGUAGUACCAGCUAGAAAGUGGGGUGCUGAACUAGAAGAACUCCUUCGUGUCCACCAGGAAAACAAAUCUGCACGGACAGUAGCAGAGAACAGCGAGAUGUUACAGAGAAGCCUGUUGCUGGAAGAAAAUCUAAACAGGGCUUUUGCUGAGAAUAGGAUGGCUGCUACAAACAUGGGCUAGUGUGGCUGACUAAAAGCAGUUAUGUAUUCCAAGUAAGUGGCAACAAAUGUGUUUCCCUAUUGCUGGUAGCCACCAGAAAACCUUUUCUGUCAUGGUAGUGAGUGAAAAAGUUCCUGUAAGUGUCUUAGUUAAAAACAAGCAGUGCUAAACCUGCUGCUCACCUGCUUACAGAAGCAGUUUGGAGUGUACCUGGCAUCUGAAUUGGAUCAUGCCAACUAGCAAAGCUUGGCAGAGUUGUUUCCAAAACCAAACAAAUACAGAAAAUAACUGGGAAAAAAAAAAAUCCCCCAUCUGCUGUAGGCAAAGCAUUUGAACUGAAUUUGUCUGAUCUGGAAUGAGUUAUGGUAUUCUGUGUAGGGGAAAAUUACUUGAGUGGCUCUUCACUGCGGCACAGUGUUAAUUUAAGGCUGUGUUAUUCCAAUUAUGAUUUAAAAAAAAUAAUCAGUCUGUUCUGAUGUUCUGACAACUUGUCCAUUUGAAAGCUCUGUGUGGAUUAUUUUCUGUUUGAAAGCACUUUCACAGAUCUCCAUUCUCGCUACUCUUGCUGUUAGUCUAGAAAAAGGUGCUGCGCACUCCCACGUGGAGUUGGAACAAGGAGAAUGUCUCUUUGUGUUAGCUAUCUUUUGUCUGGGAACAAAUAGAAGAUACAGGCUGCAGGUCUGUAGCUGUGUGCUGAUAAUUUGUGCCUUAAGGUGCAAGAUGAGGCUGCAGGUGGUCGUACACCUAGCAGUGGCUGUAUUCCCAAACCAUCGCCCAGCUGGAUCUCGAUGCCAGCUCCGGGUGUUGCAGAGAUGCUGUGAGAGAUGGGCUUGUGGUCAUGUUUUGCCCUGGUUGUGUGGUUUUUUUUUUUUUUUGCCUUUCUACCUGUGUCAUCUGCCCUUUACAGAUAGAUUCAUUCAGCCUUUCAGAUUUGUGCUCUGCAUGGGAUAGCAUCUCCAUUGUAUAAGAUGAUGUAUAUAUAAUUACUAGAUAAAUGCAUGCACUUGUGAUGCAUAUCUGAUAUAGCUACAGGUGUUUUGCUGUCCGGCUGCAAGAGCAACUCUGCGUUUUAAUGUAUUGGAUGUUUUUCCAUUUAAAAUCGGAGCGGCUUAGCCAAACAGGCUGCUGGAGAACUCACUUCUGUAUGCUGGAGGCCCCAGAACAGCUGUGCUGACAGCUAGGCCAGGCAGGAUGGCAGCUGCUUUUAAGGUAGGGAAAAGAGAGAGAUUCUGAAACUUAAAGGUAACCCAUCUAUUACUCCCAUACUAGUGAUGGAAUUCAUGGAGUCUGGAUUAGCUAACAAAACUUCUCAUUUCACAAACCUGACACUUCACACGUGUCUCAUAUUUGCAGCGAGCUUAUCUUAAAGUCAUCAUCCAAAAAAAGUGUUUCCUAAACCAGAAAGAGCAAGCUCUCCCUCUCUUAGCUAUUAUGGACUGCUUAAUUCUCUCUCAAGGAGCGGUGUUGGGAAGUUCCUGUAUAUUUAUAUCCUAUUCUGAAGGAAAUGAGAGGGAAGGACUAGAGCUGUAUUUGUCUCAUCUGCUUUCAUACAAAGGCACUUUUAGUCCAGUGAUUACCUCUGCCAGAAACCUCAUUCUCAACUACAUUUUCCCAUGCAAAGCAUUCUGUUUUAUCUUCUAAUGUAUGUCUGAAAGUUUAUAAAGCUUUAAAGAGACAAAGAAGCGGUGUCUACAAACUGUGUUUGAUUUUCACAGGGGUGAGUUUCUGUGUAAAUUGUUCACUUGGGUUCAGCUGCUUUUCUUGCCCUUGUUCUCUGUGAGGCCAAGUGUUCUCUGAGCUUCAUCUGAGGAGUUCUCUUUCUGAGAGCAAGACUCCGUCAACAGCUGAGCCCAAGAAAUGCUUAACUUCUCGAGAAUCAAAAACAACAUAUAUUUUUAUAGAAACGUGUAUUUUAAAAAUCUGUUUCCUGCAGCUUCUCCAUAUGUAUUUUUCCCCUUGUAGUUCAGAUUUGAUAAAAACUCUUUUUGUUGAGUUCAUUCUUUUUACGUUGUUUUUAAAUUUGUAGUCAAAGCUUUGGUGUACUGUACAGGAGCAGUCAGCCUUUGUAAUUACUGUAUAAAUGCUUUAUAAUAAAGUAUAUUACUUUUAUUUUAGCAAGUGAGCAGACACUUCCUUUUGUGUGUUUGCUGCCUAUGGCACCUUUUAAAAGACUGUUACAUGUUAAAAAUGUACAUAUAUAAAUAUAUUUACCUGUUGCUGUACAGUUGUGAUAGACUGGACUGAAUUUAUUUUUUGUGUGCUUUUUUAUAAAAUAUUAAUACACUAAAGGCAAUCUUGCUGAUGUGAUUGUAAUGUACUAUGUAACUUAUUUACUUAAUAUCCUCUAUAUAUCUAAGAAGCCCUUUUAUUAAAUGAG
This 3907-nucleotide long non-coding RNA is filed under the name Gallus gallus (chicken). RNAcentral describes it as "lncRNA (ENSGALG00010023515.1)". The record is from RNAcentral. Lineage: Eukaryota; Metazoa; Chordata; Aves; Galliformes; Phasianidae.